RNAcentral lists this long non-coding RNA (220 nucleotides) under Phoenix dactylifera (date palm). RNAcentral's name for it is "long non-coding RNA (PDAC_LNC006200)". Lineage: Eukaryota; Viridiplantae; Streptophyta; Magnoliopsida; Arecales; Arecaceae. The record is from RNAcentral.
GAAUUGGUCACGUUCGGUGAAAUGUACUCCUACACUUCACCUGUAUGGCAUAUCAGUGUCUCCACACUCCUUGGUUAAGAGGACAACCAACGUAUAUAUCACACAACAACCUAAUCUCGAUAAUGUUGUCGUCCUAGUAACAACAUAUCAUUUGGUCGCGAACAAGUUUAAGGACUCAAAGAUAAAUCCUCCUUUAUCAUAACAUAAGUCCUAAGGACUU